RNAcentral lists this long non-coding RNA (1420 nucleotides) under Heterocephalus glaber (naked mole-rat). RNAcentral describes it as "lncRNA (ENSHGLG00000038125.1)". Lineage: Eukaryota; Metazoa; Chordata; Mammalia; Rodentia; Bathyergidae. The record is from RNAcentral.
GGAGGAGGCGCGAGGGGCGGGGAGGAGACAGGGCCGGCGCCGCCUCCCGUCCCCCGCCCGGCCCGGCCGCGCCUUCCUGGGGACCCCCGCCCCCUCAGGUCGCGGCGCCCGGGAGGCAGCUCGGCCGCUCCUGCUCGGGGCCCAGAAGCAGCAGGUGGGACGGCCGUGGGUCUCUGCUCGCUUCUCUUCCCUGCAACAACUUCGCGACGGCAACGACGAACUCCAGCCUCCUUUGUUCCGGACGUUGAUCGGCCGAACCUCCGAGGAACGAACCCGCCCGCGCCGCUGGCCCACGACCCCGCCCUGGGGCGCAGCUCCGCGUCUCCGCGGGUCCGGGUUAAGGCAGAGCCCGGCCCGGCAGAGCCGUCCAGGAGCUGCGCAGAGACCGCGCGAAGAGGCCGCCCGGGACCCCCCACCCGCUGUCGGCUCCCGGGGCUCCAGAGCUUGCGGCGGGCGGGCGGGCGGGCGAGCGGUGCCUUCGCGCCCUGGGAGCCGGAGCCCAAGCCGGCGGCCCAGCGGCCUCGAGAGGAGUUUGCCGCGGGCCUCCGGGCCACACGGGGAGACUCCGGAGACGGGGCCUCCGAGACAGCAGCUGACUGAAUUGCCUGCGAGAGGAUCGCUUGUCUCCCCAGACUUGCUGUCGAGGUUCCCGCCAACGUCGAAGUCCAAGCCUGUGCCUCCCCUGGUUCCUGCCGUCCUACCCCGCUGCAUGCUACAGGCUCGUCCUCUCCUUUCUGUUCUUCCCCUCGCCUUGUUAUGCUUCCCCCUCCUCCUCCUCCUCCUCCUCCGACAGAUAAAAUUUUACUCUAAAUCCCUGUAUUCGUAAGGAUCAGAUCAUCACAGUGCCCAGAACUGAGUCUCCCCCAACACACUCAGGUAAACACUGAUGUCUGUCCUCCUUUGGCAAGUGAGGAGGCAGUGGGGUGAUUUACCGGGGAAUACGUGGCUAGCGAGAGGCGGAAGAAACAAGAGCCUCGUCAGAUUCUCUAAAUGGCUGCUUCAUCUGUUUGUCUUUACUAUUACAUUAUUUUUACUGUGGUUUCAUAAAACCCCAUCUUCUGCCCCAACCCUCAUCCACAGACUUCUUUGGUGGAAGGAAAUUAAAAUUAACACUGCAACUCUCUCAAAAGUUAAAAUUAAAAUAUUUUCAAAUAUCUGUGCUGAAAUUUCCUUCUGAGACUCUUCCAAACACCUCUGGGAAAAGGGCUUUGCAGUCCCAAAGACAGAGCGGUUUGGGGGUGCAGACUUCCUGGCCGAGUGAGGACAGCGUCUGAGUGUCAGUCACCAAACGCUGUGUGAAUUGGGAGUGAGGAGACGCCCGCUCCUGUGGGUCAGAAACAGCGCAUCUGCUAUACUGGCUGUACGAGGCGUUCCUGUGGCAGUCACUACAGACAGGACUUGUUACAUCCCCUACUUGCAG